Long non-coding RNA from Amphiprion ocellaris (clown anemonefish), 2271 nucleotides. RefSeq lists it as uncharacterized. The transcript has 3 exons. The record is from RefSeq and is a predicted model, not a curated record. Lineage: Eukaryota; Metazoa; Chordata; Actinopteri; Pomacentridae.
ACCUUUUAAAAUACCAGAAAAAAAAAAUUAGAACAAGUGAUGUGUGGUGUUGUCACAGUUAUACAUAAUACACUUCACUUGUUAUGUGCCUACUUUAUUAGGAGAAAUCAGGUCAAAGUGUUCCCAUACAGAGGAGAAUCUUCUCUUUCUGGCUGGUUCUAUAAAAAAAGAGUCUCAAACCGAUUGAAUGCAAAGAUACAGCAGGUAAAAAUCCAGCAAAUGUGAACGGGGAAUCCAUUGCGUUUCGCUGCCCCUUAUAUUUUGAAUUGCACGUCAAACCUGCGAACCACUUCCUCAACCAGUCACGCGGUACGACCGUCUUGCGAGGCUUCGAACGUCAUCAUUUUUGGCUCCUCCCCUAAAUGAAGCAAGCCCCACGCACACACAGCGCAUGUGUCGAAGCCAUCACUAUGUAUGUCUAUGGUCGGCACGUCUGGUAGCAUAUCUGGCUGCUGUUGAUCUUGUUUUUGGAGUUAAACACGGUGGAAGCUGAAUUAGUGAGGAUGACUCCUGCUUCUGUCAUCUCUAAGCUCCUCACACAUCUUUACCUGCACAUGAGGAAAAUCUCUCCUGUAGAAUGCAGAUGUUCAGAGGGAGAUGAUGCCACAUCUGGUCCAGCUGAUGGAAGGUCUUGAAGUUCUCUGACUGGCCUCGACUGAAGAUGGUCGUCUCACUGGAUUUAAGGUUCAGAUGUUCAGUAACAAACUCCACCAAUGAGCCAACAGGGAAGCUUUAGGUUUAUUAAAUGUUGCUAUGAAGGUAUCGCUGUUUUUCUUUGUGAAUGCAAUGUGCUCCAACUGAAACUUGAAUUAGAACUUAGAAGUAAGUCCUUCCAUCUGAAAGGAUUUAGUUGCAUUAAUAACCUGAUAACAUUCUAAUUUUUAUUCCAGUCUUGGUUGGAAAUAGAAUCUCUGUAUUGAUUCAGGUAAAAACUGAACUUCACAGCAUGUUGAAGCAAAACAACCAGAUGAAAACUGUGAUGGUGUUGGAUUGUCAGACCGUAAUGUUGCAGCUCAAAGCAGCUUUUCUAGCUCAGUUCAUUCUGACAUUCAGCUAUGAAUCAACACAGCAGAUGGUGAUCUAUGCUGUGGAAGUCUCACAUCUCCUGAUUUAAUGGAGCUGCUUUGCACUUUUUACACUGUUUAUUCACCAACACUUUAUUUAAUAAAAGUCCCAUCUAGUUUUCAUGAGGAAUGUGAUGUUUUAAUUUCUCUGUGAAUAACUGCAGUCUAAUGCAACAGCUGGAGUUGUAACAUCUGUCCUGAUAUUGAUCAUGAAGUAUUGAUCAGAAUACUUAUGGUUAGUAGUCAUCCCUGAAGUUUUACAUUAAAAUCUUUACUUGUGUUGUGAACUUAGGUAAGAAGCAGAAACGUUAGCGUUGCCAUGGAUACAUGAGUGUUAAAUUCAGUCCAUGUUUCAUUUUGGGAAAUUCAGUCCAGUUCCAGAAUGUGGAGGAAUUUAGGCUCACAAUCACAGACAACAAAUAUUAUCUGAAAGCCGGGUUAUUGUUGUUUAUCAGCACAAUACAAAAAGAUUAAUGUUAGAAAUAUUCCAGUUAAGACCCUAGAAUAUCAUGAUUUAUGUAAAUUUACCUCAAUAAUAUGAAUGUUCAGGUCAAGAUUGUACAGUGAUAUUUAUUAUGUAAGUUUAGCUGAUUAAAGUUUAUGACUCUGCACUAAAAUAUUAUUUAAAUUGAUAUCAUUAUUAUAAUAUUUAGGGUCAGACCCUACAGUAUUGAGAUUAAGAAAUCAAAUAUUCUAUAAAAUGUAAAUACAUUGAACUCAUUUGGAUAUAUUUAAGUGAGAAUCUACACUAUUAUUUAUGACACAAAUCUAAAUUUUAAUCAUUUUUACUCCAAACAUUUACUGGACUGAUUUAAAUAUUAAAAUCACUCCUUUCUAAUCCUCUGCUGUACGUUCAAACCUGAGGCCUUAAAUAGAAACACACAAGUAUCUGUUUGAAGGAACUUCUGCAGAGUCCUGGUUCCAGAACAUGAUGAUAGAAUUAUAGACAAACUUUAACAAAAGCUGCCUGAGAGUUUACAGGUUUUUAUGUUGGAUUUCUUCAGUAAUUUAAUGAGAGUUAUCAGGAAAAAUGAAGUAUUCAUUUGAUGAACUUCAUUUCCUAAAACAUCCAGAAUUGGAGCUCAUAUCUUUGGCAGCUGUAAAGUUUCUGCUUCUUCAAAAUUCACAACACAAUGAAUGAAUUCCUAAAACUCUCUCAAUGCUGGAGAACGUUUGAUGCUGAAGCAGUGACCCAGUUUUUCUGUUU